AUUACGUAGAGGGGUAGGAUAAAGAC
Molecule: non-coding RNA, 26 nt
Filed under: Cricetulus griseus (Chinese hamster)
Lineage: Eukaryota; Metazoa; Chordata; Mammalia; Rodentia; Cricetidae
Source: RNAcentral